UUGAUCAUGGCUCAGGACGAACGCUGGCGGCAUGCCUAAUACAUGCAAGUCGAACGCUGAAGCACUCUGCUUGCAGAGUGCGGAUGAGUGGCGAACGGGUGAGUAACACGUGGGAAAUCUGCCUAUGAGUGGGGGAUAACAUUCGGAAACGGAUGCUAAUACCGCAUAGAUUCUUGGACCGCCUGGUCCUUGAAAGAAAGACGGCUUUGCUGUCGCUUAUAGAUGAUCCCGCGGCGUAUUAGUUAGUUGGUGGGGUAAUGGCCUACCAAGACCAUGAUACGUAGCCGACCUGAGAGGGUGAUCGGCCACACUGGGACUGAGACACGGCCCAGACUCCUACGGGAGGCAGCAGUAGGGAAUCUUCCACAAUGGGUGCAAACCUGAUGGAGCAAUGCCGCGUGAAUGAAGAAGGUCUUCGGAUCGUAAAGUUCUGUUAUUAGAGAAGAACAAGUCAAGGAGUAACUGUCUUGACUUUGACGGUACCUAACCAGAAAGUCACGGCUAACUACGUGCCAGCAGCCGCGGUAAUACGUAGGUGACAAGCGUUGUCCGGAAUUAUUGGGCGUA
Molecule: ribosomal RNA, 567 nt
Filed under: uncultured bacterium
Lineage: Bacteria
Description: bacterial SSU rRNA
Rfam family: Bacterial small subunit ribosomal RNA
Source: RNAcentral